Molecule: ribosomal RNA, 429 nt
Filed under: Verrucomicrobiota bacterium
Lineage: Bacteria; Pseudomonadati; Verrucomicrobiota
Description: Verrucomicrobia bacterium partial 16S ribosomal RNA
Rfam family: Bacterial small subunit ribosomal RNA
Source: RNAcentral
UAGGGAAUCUUCCGCAAUGGACGACAGUCUGACGGAGCAACGCCGCGUGAGUGAAGAAGGAUUUCGGUUCGUAAAACUCUGUUGUUAGGGAAGAAAAAAUGUAUAGUAACUAUAUACAAAAGAGACGGUACCUAACCAGAAAGCCACGGCUAACUACGUGCCAGCAGCCGCGGUAAUACGUAGGUGGCAAGCGUUGUCCGGAAUUAUUGGGCGUAAAGCGCGCGCAGGUGGUUUAGAAAGUCUGAUGUGAAAGCCCACGGCUCAACCGUGGAGGGUCAUUGGAAACUAAUAAACUUGAGUGCAGGAGAGAAAGGUGGAAUUCCUAGUGUAGCGGUGAAAUGCGUAGAGAUUAGGAGGAACACCGGUGGCGAAAGCGGCUUUUUGGCCUGCAACUGACACUGAGGCGCGAAAGCGUGGGGAGCAAACAGG